CCUUAGCUUCGGGAAGAGGCUGUAAUCUAACUCAUCGUCUGUUUGCUCUGAAAACCAGCGUGGACGUGCAGAGGCCGACUGGAUCACCGUCAGUAACCGUGCUGCCAGUCCGAGAAGCCAGCCCGGCCUCUGAAGCGAUCAAAAUGCAGACACCACAGCGUGAAGCAGCAGCA
This 173-nucleotide long non-coding RNA is filed under the name Bos grunniens (domestic yak). Its description in RNAcentral is "lncRNA (ENSBGRG00000013874.1)". Lineage: Eukaryota; Metazoa; Chordata; Mammalia; Artiodactyla; Bovidae. The record is from RNAcentral.